RNAcentral lists this ribosomal RNA (405 nucleotides) under uncultured Eubacteriaceae bacterium. Its description in RNAcentral is "partial 16S ribosomal RNA". It matches the Rfam family "Bacterial small subunit ribosomal RNA", at positions 355 to 774 of the family's 1533-position model. The record is from RNAcentral. Lineage: Bacteria; Bacillati; Bacillota; Clostridia; Eubacteriales; Eubacteriaceae.
UGGGGAAUAUUGUGCAAUGGAGGCAACUCUGACACAGCAACGCCGCGUGAGUGAAGAAGGUUUUCGGAUCGUAAAACUCUGUCUUUGGGGAAGAAAUAAAUGACGGUACCCAAGGAGGAAGCCCCGGCUAACUACGUGCCAGCAGCCGCGGUAAUACGUAGGGGGCAAGCGUUGUCCGGAAUCACUGGGCGUAAAGAGCACGUAGGCGGUUUUUUAAGUCAGAUGUGAAAGUUUGCGGCUCAACCGUAAAAGUGCAUUUGAAACUGAAAGACUUGAGUCUCGGAGAGGUAAGCGGAAUUCCUAGUGUAGCGGUGAAAUGCGUAGAGAUUAGGAAGAACACCGGUGGCGAAGGCGGCUUACUGGACGAGUACUGACGCUCAGGUGCGAAAGCGUGGGGAGCAAACA